AACGGUCUAUACCUGCGGUACCUGCGGAGGGAUCAUUACAGGACUCGCAAGACUCCUACAACCCUGUGAACCUACUAUACGAACGUUGCUUCGGCGGGUGCGCCCCGGGGAUUCGUUCCCGCGGCGCGUCAGCCCGCCGGCAGCCUACAAAUUCUGUUUCUUUGCGUUGGCAUCUCGAGAAAAACAAAUAAGUUAAAACUUUUAACAAUGGAUCUCU
This 217-nucleotide unclassified non-coding RNA is filed under the name soil metagenome. RNAcentral's name for it is "partial contains 5.8S ribosomal RNA, internal transcribed spacer 2, and large subunit ribosomal RNA". The record is from RNAcentral.